RNAcentral lists this transfer RNA (63 nucleotides) under Paramacrosteles nigromaculatus. RNAcentral's name for it is "tRNA-Glu". Lineage: Eukaryota; Metazoa; Arthropoda; Insecta; Hemiptera; Cicadellidae. The record is from RNAcentral.
UUUUAUGUAGUUUAAAAAACAUUUUAUUUUCAUUAAAAAAUUGAUUACUAUAAUCCAUAAAUA